Nymphaea colorata (pocket water lily) is the source of this 1777-nucleotide long non-coding RNA. RefSeq lists it as uncharacterized. Lineage: Eukaryota; Viridiplantae; Streptophyta; Magnoliopsida; Nymphaeales; Nymphaeaceae. The record is from RefSeq and is a predicted model, not a curated record. The transcript is spliced from 3 exons.
UUAUAUUAGAUAUAUGCAUGAGGACUUGACUUUGAUCCUUUUGAUUGAGAUGAGGAUCGUGUAGGUCAUGAGAGAGAGUUGUACCAGAACAAUGGAAAGCACUCUUAUCAUAUCCAAAUUUACAUAAAGGACAGGCAAUCAGCAAAAGGAAUAAACCUAAUCGUGUCAGCAAAGGCUUCAACGCCCUUCUGCAAAUAAAAGCUCCACCCAUGUUCUUUAUGAAUAGGUACCCAAGUCUGAGGUGCCAUAUGUCAGUUGAGGUGGUGUUAUAAUUUAACACAAUGGAGUUGGAGGAUGGAGGACUGUGAGACCUUCUAGAAUUGCUAUUUUGAUUGAGACACCUGUAAACAAGCACUCCUUCUGCAGAUCAGCUAGGCCAGUCAUCAUCAUGGAAAUGAGGUCGUCCAGGUAACACUUGUGAGAAGCAAAAAUAACAUGACAAUGAGCUACUUUUGUCUGUUUACUGAAAUGAGAUUAAAUUUUUGAAAUUAGGUAGUAGACAUUGUCAAGGGCCAACAAGGGACAUAAAAUGACUCAUCCAACAUGGGUUGCAUAAAAAAGUUUUAUCAUUAGGUAGCUUGAUAGGAAAUGGUGAAAGUAGUUUGGACACGUUGAUCAUAUGAUUCAGUGAAGAACUCAUAUGAUCAGUAUCCUUGCUGUCGACAAUCCAAAAAUUGGUAUGGUUACAAGAUAUACCUGAAAAACUGGCUUGGGCAGAUUAUCUGUCUUUGAGGAGCUGUUUGAUUUAGAUACUCAUCUGUAGUCAAUGUUUGAGCAGAAUCACAAUUGGAUUCCUUGAGUGAAUUUGCAAUGAUGGACUUUGCCUUAUCUUCAUCAACUCGAUUUGUAGAGGAAGAUCUGUCUGAUCUCUGUUUUUCUGCCUUUCAUAUUUGGAGCGAUUGAGUUUGAAGCAUCUCUCCUUACACUGCCCUAAGAUGCAACAGUAACUACAAUAGUAUUGUUGUCUUUUGAUCAGCAUUGGGGACAGCAAAACUGACUUGUGCUUUAGUAUUGAUCUGAACUUGGCUUCUCUCUGCUUUUUUUCUUGCCAAAGCAGUGAGAAAACCUCUGCAACUGAAGUUAAAGGAUCAAUCAAAAGUAUCUAAUCUUUAAUUGCAUUGAAGACCCAUCAGAAAUUGGAUGACACAGUCUUCCUGCUUUCUUUCUGCGAUCAGUUUCAGUGUUCCACAUGAGCACCCCAGAAGAGGAUCAUAGGAAUUCAACUCGUCCCAAUAGGCUUUCAGUUUAGUGAAAUUGGUGGCCACUGAAGAAACAUCUAGAGUUAAACGACUAAUCACAGACUUAAUCUGGUAUUUCCUUGGAGCUGUGCCCUGCUGAACCUCUCUUCCUCAAGUCGACCCAGAUUUCAAGUGUUGUAGAUGCAUAGAUAACACUAGUGGCAAGUUCACGAGAAAGAGAGUUCAGGAUCCGUGACGGUACCAUAUGACUGCAACGCCUCCGAAAAAUGAAUUCAGCUAAGGAAGCGUCUUGUUUGGCAGAGAUCAAUUUGACCAAUGCCAGCUUAUUCUUGGCAGACAACAUGACCAUUGCGACUCCAUGUUGCAUAGUUGUCACAGGUGAGGAGCUGGGAAACCAACACAACUCCUUGAUUGUCUGAAUGAAAUAGGGGUUGGAAAAUUCUGAAGCGUUAAGGUCAGAUGAAGACUCUGAUCCUGUAGAGAAGCCAGAGUUGGCUGUGUUGUUUAGUGGAGAUUCAGGGCCUGUAGACAACAUGGCUUUGAUACCUUGUCAAGAGGAAGACUCUGCAGAAGUGAAA